CUGACCUCAGAUCAGGCGAGAUUACCCGCUGAGUUUAAGCAUAUCACUAAGCGGAGGAAAAGAAACUAACAAGGAUUCCCUU
RNAcentral lists this ribosomal RNA (82 nucleotides) under Riccia inflexa. RNAcentral's name for it is "partial 26S large subunit ribosomal RNA". It matches the Rfam family "Eukaryotic large subunit ribosomal RNA", at positions 1 to 81 of the family's 3401-position model. Lineage: Eukaryota; Viridiplantae; Streptophyta; Marchantiopsida; Marchantiales; Ricciaceae. The record is from RNAcentral.